AGAUUCUCAAAGAAAUUGGCGGGAGGGCGCACAAACGGUGGAUGAUGUGGUUUAAUUCGAUGCAACGCGAAAAACCUUACCCACCUUUGACAUGGCAGGAAUUCCGAAGAGAUUUGGAAGUGCUCGAAAGAGAACCUGCACACAGGUGCUGCAUGGCUGUCGUCAGCUCGUGUCGUGAGAUGUUGGGUUAAGUUCCGCAACGAGCGCAACCCUUGCCAUUAGUUGCUACGAAAGGGCACUCUAAUGGGACUGCCGGUGACAAACCGGAGGAAGGUGGGGAUGACGUCAAGUCCUCAUGGCCCUUAUAGGUGGGGCUACACACGUCAUACAAUGGCCGGUACAAAGGGUAGCCAACCCGCGAGGGGGAGCCAAUCCCAUAAAGCCGGUCGUAGUCCGGAUCGCAGUCUGCAACUCGACUGCGUGAAGUCGGAAUCGCUAGUAAUCGUGGAUCAGCAUGCCACGGUGAAUACGUUCCCGCGCUUGCACACACCGCCCGAAUCUGUCCCCUCUCCA
RNAcentral lists this ribosomal RNA (513 nucleotides) under [Acidovorax] ebreus. RNAcentral describes it as "bacterial SSU rRNA". It matches the Rfam family "Bacterial small subunit ribosomal RNA", at positions 895 to 1413 of the family's 1533-position model. The record is from RNAcentral. Lineage: Bacteria; Pseudomonadati; Pseudomonadota; Betaproteobacteria; Burkholderiales; Comamonadaceae.